AGUGAACGCUGGCGGCGUGCCUAAUACAUGCAAGUAGAACGGAGGGGCGCACGGGUGAGGAAUGUAAAGCUAAUCUGCCCUACACAAGAGGACAACAGUUGGAAACGACUGCUAAUACUCUAUAGUGUAGGAUGAGGCUAUAUUGUAUCAGCUAGUUUGGGAGGUAAUUGCUCACCAAGGCUAUGACGCAUAACUGGUCUGAGAGGAUGAUCAGUCACCCUUGAACUGAGACACGGUCCAGACUCCUACGGGAGGCAGCAGUAGGGUAUAUUGCUCCAUGGGGGAAACCCUGAAGCAGCAACGCCGCGUGGAGGAUGACACUUUUCGGAGCGUUAACUCCUUUUGUUAGGGAAGCGGUACCUAACGAAUAAGCCCCGGCUAACUCCGUGCCAGCAGCCGCGGUAAUUC
This 408-nucleotide ribosomal RNA is filed under the name uncultured bacterium. RNAcentral describes it as "partial 16S ribosomal RNA". It matches the Rfam family "Bacterial small subunit ribosomal RNA", at positions 29 to 526 of the family's 1533-position model. The record is from RNAcentral.